RNAcentral lists this ribosomal RNA (379 nucleotides) under Cirratulidae sp. KJO-2009. RNAcentral's name for it is "partial 16S ribosomal RNA". It matches the Rfam family "Bacterial large subunit ribosomal RNA", at positions 1950 to 2534 of the family's 2925-position model. Lineage: Eukaryota; Metazoa; Annelida; Polychaeta; Terebellida; Cirratulidae. The record is from RNAcentral.
GCAAAGGUAGCGUAAUCGACUGCCCUUUAAUUGGGGGCCUGUAUGAAUGGACACACGCGAGCACAUCUGUCUCAUUAGAGCCCCUAAAAGUUAUCCUUUAGGUGAAAAGACCUAAAUAAAAUAGAAAGACAAAAAGACCCUACAGAGCUUUAUCUUAACACCCUACACUCCCCCUGCCUGCCAACACCCGGAGUAUUAUGGCCUAAGAUUUGGUUGGGGCGACAAAGGACCACCCAAAACGUCCUUCCCUUUACAGACCUCACGUCACCAAACUACUCAUUAGACAACUUGUUUAAGAGACAUAAGCUACCUUAGGGAUAACAGACUAAUAUCCCCUUAAGAGCCCAAAUCAACAGGGGAGUUUGGCACCUCGAUGUUG